UAACGAGGAUUCCCCUAGUAACUGCGAGUGAAGCGGGAAGAGCUCAAAUUUGUAAUCUGGCGGCCUUCGGCCGUCCGAGUUGUAAUCUGUAGAGGCAUUGUCCGCGUCGGCCCGUGUACGAGUCUCCUGGAAUGGAGCGUCGUAGAGGGUGAGAAUCCCGUCCAUGACACGGACCACCGAUGCUUUGUGAGGUGCCCUCGAAGAGUCGCGUUGUUUGGGAAUGCAGCGCAAAACGGGUGGUAAAUUCCAUCUAAGGCUAAAUAUUGGCGAGAGACCGAUAGCGAACAAGUACCGUGAGGGAAAGAUGAAAAGCACUUUGAAAAGAGAGUUAAACAGUACGUGAAAUUGUUGAAAGGGAAACGCUUGAAGUCAGUCGCGUCCCUCGGCGUUCAACCUCGCUUUGGCUUGGUGUACUCGCUGGGUGGGAUGGGUCAACGUCGAUUUCGACCGGUGGACAAGGGCGAGGGGAAUGUAGCGUCGCUUUGGUGGCGUGUUAUAGCCUUUCGUCGGAUGCGUCGGUUGGGAUCGAGGAAAGUCGCAGCACGCCCUUGUUGGCCGGGAGGUUUUUGCCUCUACGUAACGUGCUUAGGACGUUGGCAUAAUGGCUUUAAGCGACCCGUCUUGAAACACGGACCAAGGAGUCUAACACGCUUGCGAGUGUUCGGGUGGAAAACCCUUGCGCGAAAUGAAAGUGAAAGUUGGGAGCCCUCCGCGAGGGGGUGCACCGACGCCCGGCCCUGAGGUGCUCCGACGGUGCUGCGGUGGAGCAAGUGUGUUGGGACCCGAAAGAUGGUGAACUAUGCCUGAAUAGGGCGAAGCCAGAGGAAACUCUGGUGGAGGCUCGUAGCGAUUCUGACGUGCAAAUCGAUCGUCGAAUUUGGG
RNAcentral lists this ribosomal RNA (882 nucleotides) under Phylloporia sp. MUCL 53433. RNAcentral describes it as "eukaryotic LSU rRNA". It matches the Rfam family "Eukaryotic large subunit ribosomal RNA", at positions 66 to 915 of the family's 3401-position model. Lineage: Eukaryota; Fungi; Basidiomycota; Agaricomycetes; Hymenochaetales; Hymenochaetaceae. RNAcentral also lists the same sequence under 1 other name. The record is from RNAcentral.